Molecule: ribosomal RNA, 848 nt
Filed under: marine metagenome
Description: bacterial SSU rRNA
Rfam family: Bacterial small subunit ribosomal RNA
Source: RNAcentral
ACUUGAUUAGUUUGUUGGUAGGGUAAUGGCCUACCAAGACAAUGAUCAAUAGCUGAUUUGAGAGGAUGAUCAGCCACAUUGGGACUGAGACACGGCCCAAACUCCUACGGGAGGCAGCAGUAGGGAAUCUUGCACAAUGGGGGAAACCCUGAUGCAGCGAUGCCGCGUGAGUGAAGAAGGCCUUUGGGUUGUAAAGCUCUUUCGUCGGGGAAGAAAAUGACUGUACCCGAAUAAGAAGGUCCGGCUAACUUCGUGCCAGCAGCCGCGGUAAUACGAAGGGACCUAGCGUAGUUCGGAAUUACUGGGCUUAAAGAGUUCGUAGGUGGUUAAAAAAGUUGGUGGUGAAAUCCCAGAGCUUAACUCUGGAACUGCCAUCAAAACUUUUUAGCUAGAGUAUGAUAGAGGAAAGCAGAAUUUCUAGUGUAGAGGUGAAAUUCGUAGAUAUUAGAAAGAAUACCAAUUGCGAAGGCAGCUUUCUGGAUCAUUACUGACACUGAGGAACGAAAGCAUGGGUAGCGAAGAGGAUUAGAUACCCUCGUAGUCCAUGCCGUAAACGAUGUGUGUUAGACGUUGGAAAUUUAUUUUCUGUGUCGCAGCGAAAGCAAUAAACACACCGCCUGGGGAGUACGACCGCAAGGUUAAAACUCAAAUGAAUUGACGGGGACCCGCACAAGUAGUGGAGCAUGUGGUUUAAUUCGAAGAUACGCGCAGAACCUUACCAACACUUGACAUGUUCGUCGCGACUUUAAGAGAUUAAAGUUUUCGGUUCGGCCGGACGAAACACAGGUGCUGCAUGGCUGUCGUCAGCUCGUGUCGUGAGAUGUUGGGUUAAGUCCCGCAACGAGCGC